AUGGCGAUGCUCCGGUACGCCGCCAGCCUGGCGCUCCGCCGGUCGGCAUCUCCACCUGACACCGUGGUCUCGCGCUUCUUGGGCAGCGCUGGAUGCGGCAACCCCGCCGCCGGCCUGCCGCUCCUCCGGCGGCCGUCACCUCCGCCUGGUGUUGCUGCUGCUGCGACGGCGGCGGCCUCUCGCUUCUUCAGCAACGGCAGCCGGCCUGGAUCCAGCAACACCAACUCGACGCUUGGCAAGCCUAUUGAGGACACCAAGGAAGAUGUGUACCCAAGGACCCGCAAGUCACCUGCCAAGAUACGCAUAAUUCUGAAAUCUUUCAAUAACCAGAAGAACAAUCUGAAGGAGCUUGCGCCGUACAUGCAUAAGGUCGGGUUGCCUGAAUCGCGGUCCUUAUACACCGUGCUGCGAUCACCUCAUAUUGAUAAGAAAUCCAGGGAGCAAUUCUCAACGCAUGUGAAGAAAGUGUUUGUGGAGAAAACAGCGGAGACGCAUGAACUGGCCAAGAAGUUCUACUGGUUGAAACGGCUUCGUAUAUUGGGGGCUCAGUACGAAGUCGUCAUUAAUUUCAAGACACGCUUGGGUAAGAAGAUUGGCUGCAGCAAAGGUGGUGGCCUGCUUCGACAUCCAAAACAGGGUUCAGGCAUAGAAUAA
RNAcentral lists this ribosomal RNA (654 nucleotides) under Triticum aestivum (bread wheat). RNAcentral's name for it is "partial small subunit ribosomal RNA". The record is from RNAcentral. Lineage: Eukaryota; Viridiplantae; Streptophyta; Magnoliopsida; Poales; Poaceae.